UUUUUGGUUUGUUUGUAGGGCGCUGGCACCCACAUUCAGUGACCCAGCUGUAAUGUCAGUGGUGGCAUUGAUUUGAUUUUUGGUUUGCUUGUAGGGCGCUACGGUUGAGUUGGGUAACUCCGCUCUUCUUCCUCGCUAACUGCACCGGAGGAAUUUCUCAAGUCUCCUCGCGCAACUGGGGAGCACUCCAAUAUGCAAUGGAGAGAGAAAGAUUUUCAUAGAGCGGCUUGCUGUGAGAGGUGGACUGAGAUUUGACGGCACUAACGGCGAGUAUCAAGACCUUACGGCCACGGAGCUGCGGGACUCUGCGCUGGUCGUCUAUCCGUGUGGAGGCAAAGCAAACGCGGGCAACAUUCUGCUGAAGCGAGCGCGGAGCUGAAGCUGGAUUGGUGACUGACGUACUUGUUUACUUCACAACACCGGCGCAUAAUGAUGUACAUGUACAUGUACAUGUACAAGACUUCCUAAACAACGAGAUGAGGAUGGUCAUUGUAAUUUUCUGAGCUGCGAACGGGCAGAAAGCUACAGAAGGAGAUGAGUAUGGUCAUUGUCAUUUUCUGAGCUGCGACAGGCAGAAAGCUACACAACAAGAUAAGUACGGUCAAUGUCAUUUUCUGAGCUGCGAACGGGCAGAAAGCUAUACAACGAGAUGAUGUUGGUGGUUGUCAGUUUCUGAGCUUUUAACGGGCAGAAAGCUAUACAACUAGACGAGGAUGGUAAUUGUCAGUUUCUGAUCUGCCAACCGGCAGAAAGCUAUACACCGAGAUGAGGAUGGUCAUUGUCAGUUUCUGAGCUCGGAACGGGCAGAAAGAUACGAUAUACAAGGAGAUGAGGAUGGUCGUGUCGUUUGCUGAGCUUAGAACUUUCAGACACGUAAGAAAAUGUCAAGUUUUGACCUUCUGUGCCCACCUUUCAAUUUCAAUGUACCUGUCUAUAACAUGACCCAGCUGUAAUGUGAGUGGUCGCAAUUUUCAUUUUAGGUUUGCUUGUAGGCCGCCGGCACCCACAUUCAGUGACCCAAACAUUUUGGCACUGCGGUGAAUAGUUUAGUCGCAAAGUGAAGGAUCAUGGGUAAAAGCACCAAACUUGGAGAUAUGGUUGAUAAAUAUGGUGUGUCUUUACCACAUUUUUUAUCAACCAUAAGUACAGCUGCAUUGGUGUCUUCAACUUCAGUCUCCCGAGUCAAGCUCCGUAUGAAGACAUCCAAGAAGAAGAUUGCCUGAUGAGUCCAGCGGGGACGAAACGUACGUCGCAAUCGAGCUAUGUCGUUGCUGCGUCAUCUUCUAUGUGCCAUGCGCUACUUGAUGUACCAGCCUGCUAUGUCGGACACCGCCAACCAUGCAUCGACUAGGCGCCAGGCGCGAACUAAUGGUGGUGGUGGUGGUGAGAAGGAGAGCUCUGUGCCAGAACUUUGCAGCUGAGAGAGCGUGUGUGGGCAGGCGUGUGUUUACCGCCAUAUUGCCAGGUGUGUCUUUACCACCAUAUUUAUCAACCAUAAGUACAGCUGCAGUGGUGUCUUCAACUUCAAACUUGGAGAUAGGUUGUUUUUGAGCUUUCAGCAGCCCUAGGCUAGUUCUUUAGAGAAAUGUGUCUCUUUUUCUUGCGCACUUCCCCAUGUACAUAUAUACAACGAGAUGAGGAUGGUGAUUGUCAGUUUCUGAGCUUCGAACGGGCAGAAAGCCCUUGCUCAGCUAUUCAGCAAGAUCAGGAUGGUCACCGUAAGUAUCAGAGCUACAUAACAGCAGAAAGGUGGAGCAGCCAUUAGUGUGGCUUGCAACAGGAACUAGAUUACAAAGGAACAGGAAGCAAGGAAAUGAAGGAAGCAAAAUGAAUCAAGAUGGAAUGAAGAUGAAGCCCGCAAGAAAAAACAGAAGUCAACAAAGAUAGAAGUCAGCAGAGAGAAUUCUAGAAAGCCAUCCCAAACCCCGACCACCAUUCCCUCCCUCAACGAUUACUUUUAUAGCCUAUACAAUGGUAUUCCAGAAUUGGAAUUGGAAUUGCAAUUUUCGUGUUCCGCUCGUCAGAAAAUUGCUAUACUGGAAUCCAGUGUUGUGUGGUGAUUAGUGAUGUCUGCAUCCUGUACCAUCCUUAACGGGGAAUUCCCUGGAAUAUUUCGGUGUCGGCCUUUUCUCUGUGUCUUUGUCUUCAGGUGGAGCAGCCAUUAGUGGCUUGCAACAGGAACUAGAUUACAAAGGAACAGGAAGCAAGGAAAUGAAGGAAGCAAAAUGGAUCAAGAUGGAAUGAAGAUGUAGCCCGCAAGAAAAAACAGAAGUCAACAAAGAUAGAAGUCAGCAGAGAGA
Long non-coding RNA from Sycon ciliatum, 2300 nucleotides. RefSeq lists it as uncharacterized. The record is from RefSeq and is a predicted model, not a curated record. Lineage: Eukaryota; Metazoa; Porifera; Calcarea; Leucosolenida; Sycettidae. The transcript has 11 exons.